RNAcentral lists this ribosomal RNA (427 nucleotides) under uncultured bacterium. Its description in RNAcentral is "partial 16S ribosomal RNA". It matches the Rfam family "Bacterial small subunit ribosomal RNA", at positions 355 to 774 of the family's 1533-position model. The record is from RNAcentral.
UGGGGAAUAUUGCACAAUGGGCGCAAGCCUGAUGCAGCCAUGCCGCGUGUAUGAAGAAGGCCUUCGGGUUGUAAAGUACUUUCAGCGAGGAGGAAGGCGGUAAGGUUAAUAACCUUAUCGAUUGACGUUACUCGCAGAAGAAGCACCGGCUAACUCCGUGCAAGCAGCCGCGGUAAUACGGAGGGUGCAAGCGUUAAUCGGAAUUACUGGGCGUAAAGCGCACGCAGGCGGUCUGUCAAGUCGGAUGUGAAAUCCCCGGGCUCAACCUGGGAACUGCAUUCGAAACUGGCAGGCUAGAGUCUUGUAGAGGGGGGUAGAAUUCCAGGUGUAGCGGUGAAAUGCGUAGAGAUCUGGAGGAAUACCGGUGGCGAAGGCGGCCCCCUGGACAAAGACUGACGCUCAGGUGCGAAAGCGUGGGGAGCAAACA